RNAcentral lists this ribosomal RNA (526 nucleotides) under Freyeria trochylus (grass jewel). RNAcentral's name for it is "Chilades trochylus (grass jewel) partial 16S ribosomal RNA". The stretch from base 382 to 526 matches the Rfam family "Bacterial large subunit ribosomal RNA", at positions 2473 to 2617 of the family's 2925-position model. The record is from RNAcentral. Lineage: Eukaryota; Metazoa; Arthropoda; Insecta; Lepidoptera; Lycaenidae.
UUUUUGAAUUAAUUUAAAGUCCAAUCUGCCCACUGAUUAUAAAUUAAAGGGCUGCAGUAAUUUGACUGUACAAAGGUAGCAUAAUCAUUAGUCUUUUAAUUGAAGACUUGUAUGAAUGAUUUGAUGAGAUAUAAACUGUCUCUUAUUUAUAUUUAAAAUUUAAUUUUUUAGUUAAAAAGCUAAAAUACUUUUAAAAGACGAGAAGACCCUAUAGAGUUUUAUAAAUUUAUUAAUAAAAUAUUUAUAUAAAAUUUUAAUAUUUUAUUAAUAAAUUUAUUUUGUUGGGGUGAUAGAAAAAUAAAAAUAACUUUUUUUAAAAAUUAACAAAUAUAAUUGAGUAAAUGAUCCAAAAUAUUGAUUGAAAGAAAAAAUUACCUUAGGGAUAACAGCGUAAUAUUUUUUUUUAGUACGAAUAAAAAAAAAAGUUUGCGACCUCGAUGUUGGAUUAAGAUAAAAUUUAAAUGCAAAAGUUUAAAAUUUUGAUCUGUUCGAUCAUUAAAAUCUUACAUGAUCUGAGCCUCAAACC